CCUACGGGUGGCAGCAGUGAGGAAUAUUGGUCAAUGGGCUUACGCCUGAACCAGCCAAGCCGCGUGAGGGAAGAAUGCCCUAUGGGUUGUAAACCUCUUUUGUCAGGGGGCAACGCCGGCUACGUGUAGCCGGAGUGAGAGUAACUGAAGAAAAAGCAUCGGCUAACUCCGUGCCAGCAGCCGCGGUAAUACGGAGGAUGCGAGCGUUAUCCGGAUUUAUUGGGUUUAAGGGGUGCGUAGGCGGAAUGCCAAGUCAGCGGUAAAAUCGCGGGGCUCAACCUCGCUCCGCCGUUGAAACUGGCGUUCUUGAGUGGGCGAGAAGUAUGCGGAAUUCGUGGUGUAGCGGUGAAAUGCGUAGAGAUCACGCGGAACACCGAUGGCGAAGGCAGCAUACCGGCGCCCAACUGACGCUGAGGCACGAAAGCGUGGGUAUCGAACAGGAUUAGAUACCCUUGUAGUC
Molecule: ribosomal RNA, 460 nt
Filed under: uncultured bacterium
Lineage: Bacteria
Description: partial 16S ribosomal RNA
Rfam family: Bacterial small subunit ribosomal RNA
Source: RNAcentral